CCGAGACCCCAGGUCAGGCGGGAAUACCCG
Molecule: ribosomal RNA, 30 nt
Filed under: Arrhenatherum elatius subsp. elatius
Lineage: Eukaryota; Viridiplantae; Streptophyta; Magnoliopsida; Poales; Poaceae
Description: 26S ribosomal RNA
Source: RNAcentral